ACACAUNCAAGUCGAGCGGAUGAAGANAGCUUGCUCUCUGAUUCAGCGGCGGACGGGUGAGUAAUGCCUAGGAAUCUGCCUGGUAAUGGGGGACAACGUUUCGAAAGGAACGCUAAUACCNCAUACGUCCUACGGGAGAAANCAGGGGACCUUCGGGCCUUGCGCUAUCACAUGAUCCUAUGUCGGAUUAGCUAGUUGGUGAGGUAAUGGCUCACCAAGGC
This 221-nucleotide ribosomal RNA is filed under the name Pseudomonas sp. 4.0.53. Its description in RNAcentral is "partial 16S ribosomal RNA". It matches the Rfam family "Bacterial small subunit ribosomal RNA", at positions 51 to 274 of the family's 1533-position model. The record is from RNAcentral. Lineage: Bacteria; Pseudomonadati; Pseudomonadota; Gammaproteobacteria; Pseudomonadales; Pseudomonadaceae.